RNAcentral lists this ribosomal RNA (475 nucleotides) under Segatella oris. RNAcentral describes it as "bacterial SSU rRNA". It matches the Rfam family "Bacterial small subunit ribosomal RNA", at positions 28 to 491 of the family's 1533-position model. Lineage: Bacteria; Pseudomonadati; Bacteroidota; Bacteroidia; Bacteroidales; Prevotellaceae. The record is from RNAcentral.
GAUGAACGUUGGCUACAGGCUUAACACAUGCAAGUCGAGGGGAAACGACGGGGAAGCUUGCUUCCUCGGGCGUCGACCGGCGCACGGGUGAGUAACGCGUAUCCAACCUGCCUCUGACUGAGGGAUAACCCGUCGAAAGUCGGCCUAAUACCUCAUGGCAUCGUCUGCGGGCAUCCAACGACGAUUAAAGAUUUCAUCGGUCAGAGAUGGGGAUGCGUCUGAUUAGCUGGUUGGCGGGGUAACGGCCCACCAAGGCGACGAUCAGUAGGGGUUCUGAGAGGAAGGUCCCCCACAUUGGAACUGAGACACGGUCCAAACUCCUACGGGAGGCAGCAGUGAGGAAUAUUGGUCAAUGGGCGAGAGCCUGAACCAGCCAAGUAGCGUGCAGGAUGACGGCCCUAUGGGUUGUAAACUGCUUUUAUGCGGGGAUAAAGUGAGGGACGUGUCCUUCAUUGCAGGUACCGCAUGAAUAAGG